GGCGUCGACCGGCGCGACGGUAGACGUAACGACGUACUACCAAACCCUGCCCAUCACUUGGGGAUAACCUUGCGAAAGUAAGACUAAUACCCAAUGACGUCUCUAGAAGACAUCUGAAAGAGAUUAAAGAUUUAUCGGUGUACGAUGGGGAUGCGUUCCAUUAGGUAGUAGGCGGGGUAACGGCCCACCUAGCCAACGAUGGAUAGGGGUUCUGAGAGGAAGGUCCCCCACAUUGGAACUGAGACACGGUCCAAACUCCUACGGGAGGCAGCAGUGAGGAAUAUUGGUCAAUGGGCGCGAGCCUGAACCAGCCAAGUAGCGUGCAGGAAGACGGCCCUAUGGGUUGUAAACUGCUUUUAUAAGGGAAUAAAGUGAGUCUCGUGAGACUUUUUGCAUGUACCUUAUGAAUAAGGACCGGCUAAUUCCGUG
This 429-nucleotide ribosomal RNA is filed under the name uncultured bacterium. RNAcentral's name for it is "bacterial SSU rRNA". It matches the Rfam family "Bacterial small subunit ribosomal RNA", at positions 87 to 507 of the family's 1533-position model. The record is from RNAcentral.